ACCAAUCAAAAUAGCGAACCCCGAUGGGGAAGUCCCAGAAGGAGGCGGAAAGGGCCUGGCACGUGAUUGUGAAUUUCCCGGGAAGCGCUGGGGAGUUAUUAAGUGCCUGCGCGGGAGGCUUCGCGUCAGUUUCGCGAACGGCUGGGUUGUGAACUUGGGCCAGGUACUUAAUUUUACAGGUACAGUUUCCUAACCUGUAAAAUAAGGAAUGUUGGAUAAGAUGAUGUCUGUGGUCUCUUCCCAUUCUACAUCUAUGAACUAUUUCAUACUAGAUUCACAGAAAAUGAUGAGGUUUCCUGACUUCUCAGUUCUCAUUUUGCUAACUUAGAAGAAAUUAGUUCAAAG
Non-coding RNA from Phascolarctos cinereus (koala), 345 nucleotides. NCBI's taxonomy places the organism in Eukaryota, Metazoa, Chordata, Mammalia, Diprotodontia, Phascolarctidae. The record is from RefSeq and is a predicted model, not a curated record.